AUUGAACGCUGGCGGCAGGCCUAACACAUGCAAGUCGAACGAGUGGCGGACGGGUGAGUAAUGUCUGGGAAACUGCCCGAUGGAGGGGGAUAACUACUGGAAACGGUAGCUAAUACCGCAUACCAUCGGAUGUGCCCAGAUGGGAUUAGCUAGUAGGUGGGGUAACGACUCACCUAGGCGACGAUCCCUAGCUGGUCUGAGAGGAUGACAGGCCACACUGGAACUGGGGCACGGGCCAGACUCCGACGGAGGGCAGCAGUGGGGAGUAUUGGACAAUGGGCACAAGCCUGAUGCAGCCAUGCCGCGUGUAUGAAGGAGGCCUUCGGGUUGUAAAGUACUUUCAGCGAAGAGGCGUUACUCGCAGAGGAAGCACCGGCUAACUCCGUGCCAGCAGCCGCGGUAAUAC
RNAcentral lists this ribosomal RNA (406 nucleotides) under uncultured bacterium. Its description in RNAcentral is "partial 16S ribosomal RNA". It matches the Rfam family "Bacterial small subunit ribosomal RNA", at positions 30 to 526 of the family's 1533-position model. The record is from RNAcentral.